AUGUCCUGGGAGAGGGUGUGCACGCCCAAGUGGGCCGGUGGUCUUGGUAUCUUAGACAUGAGGUUGAUGAAUGUGGUCCUCCAGACCAAGUGGCUUUGGUUGCAACGGGCUGACCAGAAUAGGCCUUGGUCUGAGUUCUCCUUCUAUGUACCGAAGGAAUCGAGGGAAUUAUUUCAGGUGGCCGCCCGAGUGGUCGUGGGUGAUGGGCAAGGCACACUAUUCUGGGAAGAUAUAUGGCUUAAUGGAUACCGGUUGGAGGAGCUCGCGCCACGGGCCUAUGAGUGUGUUCCGGCAUGCACGCGGAGGUCGAGGACGGUAUUUCAGGCCAUCACCGAGGGAAGAUGGCCCAGCGAUGUCGGGCCGGUGCUGAAUGCGGAGUAA
This 381-nucleotide ribosomal RNA is filed under the name Triticum aestivum (bread wheat). Its description in RNAcentral is "partial small subunit ribosomal RNA". The record is from RNAcentral. Lineage: Eukaryota; Viridiplantae; Streptophyta; Magnoliopsida; Poales; Poaceae.